Molecule: unclassified non-coding RNA, 348 nt
Filed under: Hevea brasiliensis (rubber tree)
Lineage: Eukaryota; Viridiplantae; Streptophyta; Magnoliopsida; Malpighiales; Euphorbiaceae
Source: RNAcentral
GACACCAAAUCCUUUCUCAUGGCACUUCUAGCGAUCUGCAAACUGCAAAUGGUAGCGGGUUGCACUUGAGGUCAAUACAUGAGAUGGAGCCUUGGAGGGCUAAACCUGGGAUUGUAUUUGUUAUCUGUCCUACCUGUUAUUUACCUCAUGGUAAUCAUGUGUGCUGAAGAUGAUGACUGCAAAAUAAUUUAGGCUGAUGCGGUAUAUUUAGCAUACAUGAUUUCUGUUGAGCAUUGAGGAGAACUUCUAUCAAGAAUGAGCUUCAAUUUUUUUCCUUUGAUAAGUUAUUGUGAUUUUUUGUUAAGGGCUGUUAAUUACUCCUGCAAAAAAAAAAAAAAAAAAAAAAAA